ACACACUAUCAUUAACUGAAUCCAUAGGUUAAUGAGGCGAACCGGGGGAACUGAAACAUCUAAGUACCCCGAGGAAAAGAAAUCAACCGAGAUUCCCCCAGUAGCGGCGAGCGAACGGGGAGCAGCCCAGAGCCUGAAUCAGUAUGUGUGUUAGUGGAAGCGUCUGGAAAGGCGCGCGAUACAGGGUGACAGCCCCGUACACAAAAAUGCACAUGCUGUGAGCUCGAUGAGUAGGGCGGGACACGUGGUAUCCUGUCUGAAUAUGGGGGGACCAUCCUCCAAGGCUAAAUACUCCUGACUGACCGAUAGUGAACCAGUACCGUGAGGGAAAGGCGAAAAGAACCCCGGCGAGGGGAGUGAAAAAGAACCUGAAACCGUGUACGUACAAGCAGUGGGAGCACGCUUAGGCGUGUGACUGCGUACCUUUUGUAUAAUGGGUCAGCGACUUAUAUUCUGUAGCAAGGUUAACCGAAUAGGGGAGCCGAAGGGAAACCGAGUCUUAACUGGGCGUUAAGUUGCAGGGUAUAGACCCGAAACCCGGUGAUCUAGCCAUGGGCAGGUUGAAGGUUGGGUAACACUAACUGGAGGACCGAACCGACUAAUGUUGAAAAAUUAGCGGAUGACUUGUGGCUGGGGGUGAAAGGCCAAUCAAACCGGGAGAUAGCUGGUUCUCCCCGAAAGCUAUUUAGGUAGCGCCUCGUGAAUUCAUCUCCGGGGGUAGAGCACUGUUUCGGCAAGGGGGUCAUCCCGACUUACCAACCCGAUGCAAACUGCGAAUACCGGAGAAUGUUAUCACGGGAGACACACGGCGGGUGCUAACGUCCGUCGUGAAGAGGGAAACAACCCAGACCGCCAGCUAAGGUCCCAAAGUCAUGGUUAAGUGGGAAACGAUGUGGGAAGGCCCAGACAGCCAGGAUGUUGGCUUAGAAGCAGCCAUCAUUUAAAGAAAGCGUAAUAGCUCACUGGUCGAGUCGGCCUGCGCGGAAGAUGUAACGGGGCUAAACCAUGCACCGAAGCUGCGGCAGCGACGCUGAUGCGUUGUUGGGUAGGGGAGCGUUCUGUAAGCCUGCGAAGGUGUGCUGUGAGGCAUGCUGGAGGUAUCAGAAGU
This 1108-nucleotide ribosomal RNA is filed under the name Escherichia coli. RNAcentral describes it as "partial 23S ribosomal RNA". It matches the Rfam family "Bacterial large subunit ribosomal RNA", at positions 143 to 1289 of the family's 2925-position model. The record is from RNAcentral. Lineage: Bacteria; Pseudomonadati; Pseudomonadota; Gammaproteobacteria; Enterobacterales; Enterobacteriaceae.